This 186-nucleotide ribosomal RNA is filed under the name Rhodococcus erythropolis. RNAcentral's name for it is "partial 16S ribosomal RNA". It matches the Rfam family "Bacterial small subunit ribosomal RNA", at positions 1363 to 1533 of the family's 1533-position model. Lineage: Bacteria; Bacillati; Actinomycetota; Actinomycetes; Mycobacteriales; Nocardiaceae. The record is from RNAcentral.
UGAAUACGUUCCCGGGCCUUGUACACACCGCCCGUCACGUCAUGAAAGUCGGUAACACCGAAGCCGGUGGCUUAACCCCUUGUGGGAGGGAGCCGUCGAAGGUGGGAUCGGCGAUUGGGACGAAGUCGUAACAAGGUAGCCGUACCGGAAGGUGCGGCUGGAUCACCUCCUUUCUAAGGAGCAUCU